This 591-nucleotide small RNA is filed under the name Pan troglodytes (chimpanzee). RNAcentral describes it as "processed transcript". The record is from RNAcentral. Lineage: Eukaryota; Metazoa; Chordata; Mammalia; Primates; Hominidae.
GGAGGAAAGCUCAGGGCCCAGGUCGGCGCAGGGAGCACGGAACCAAAGAGCGCUAGCGCCGGUUCGGCCGCCUUUCCACAAAGCCCGGGCCGAAAGGCCCCGCCGCGGAGACUCAGCGCGGAUCGCUGCUCCCUCUCGCCAUGGCGCGGGUGCUGAUCGUGGGCGCCGGGAUGACAGGAAGCUUGUGCGCUGCGCUGCUGAGGAGGCAGACGUCCGGUCCCUUGUACCUUGCUGUGUGGGACAAGGCUGAGGACUCAGGUGCAGAAGUCUACUUCAGACAUCGUGUGACACAGAUCAACCUAAGAAAUGACAAAUGGGAAGUAUCCAAACAAACAGGCUCCCCUGAGCAGUUUGAUCUUAUUGUUCUCACAAUGCCAGUUCCUCAGAUUCUGCAGCUUCAAGGUGACAUCACCAACUUAAUUAGUGAAUGCCAAAGGCAGCAACUGGAGGCUGUGAGCUACUCCUCUCGAUAUGCUCUGGGCCUCUUUUAUGAAGCUGGCACGAAGAUUGAUGUCCCUUGGGCUGGGCAGUACAUCACCAGUAAUCCCUGCAUACGCUUCGUCUCCAUUGAUAAUAAGAAGCGCAAUAUAG